GACGAACGCUGGCGGCGGGCUUAACACAUGCAAGUCGAACGAGGUCCAUCUUGUAGCAAUACAAGUGAAGACCUAGUGGCGAACGGGUGAGGAACACGUGAGAAAUUUGCCCCGAACUUUGGGAUAACAGUUGGAAACGACUGCUAAUACCGAAUGCCGUUACGAAGUGGCAUCACUUUGUAACGAAAGAAUUUCGGUUCGGGAGAAUCUCGCGGCCUACCAGCUUGUUGGUGAAGUAACGGCUCACCAAGGCUACGACGGGUAGCUGGUCUGAGAGGAUGAUCAGCCACACUGGGACUGAGACACGGCCCAGACUCCUACGGGAGGCAGCAGUGGGGAAUCUUGUGCAAUGGACGAAAGUCUGUCACAGCCACGCCGCGUGCGGGAAGAAGGCCUUCGGGUUGUAAACCGCUUUCAGCAGGAACGAAAAUGACGGUACCUGCAGAAGAAGGAGCGGCCAACUACGUGCC
This 470-nucleotide ribosomal RNA is filed under the name uncultured Gram-positive bacterium. RNAcentral's name for it is "bacterial SSU rRNA". It matches the Rfam family "Bacterial small subunit ribosomal RNA", at positions 28 to 509 of the family's 1533-position model. The record is from RNAcentral.